Long non-coding RNA from Olea europaea var. sylvestris, 99 nucleotides. RefSeq lists it as uncharacterized. The record is from RefSeq and is a predicted model, not a curated record. The transcript is spliced from 2 exons. Lineage: Eukaryota; Viridiplantae; Streptophyta; Magnoliopsida; Lamiales; Oleaceae.
CCAGGCUUACGCACACGUGUUUCAACAAGUGCAUUGAGAACAAGUACAAGGAAUCUGAGUUAAACAUGGGUGAAAACAGUUGCAUUGACCGUUGCGUUU